AGAAUAUAAAAUCAGUCUCUUAAUUUUUAACCAAAAAAACUAAGAAACCGGUUCUUAAAUAAGAGUUUUAAGAGCCGGUUCUUAACUUUUUUAGUUAAAAGUUAAGAGACGUAUUCUUAUAUUCC
Non-coding RNA from Brassica napus (rape), 125 nucleotides. NCBI's taxonomy places the organism in Eukaryota, Viridiplantae, Streptophyta, Magnoliopsida, Brassicales, Brassicaceae. The record is from Rfam.